Molecule: long non-coding RNA, 285 nt
Filed under: Homo sapiens (human)
Lineage: Eukaryota; Metazoa; Chordata; Mammalia; Primates; Hominidae
Description: LHRI_LNC133.1
Source: RNAcentral
CCCAUAUAUUACCCCUUCAUGUCCUAAAGAAGACAUUUUCUCUUAGAGAUUUUCAUUUUAGUAUAUCUUUAAAAAAAAAUCUUGUGUUAACUUGCCUCCAUCUUUUUCUUGGGUGAGGACACCCAGGAAUGACCCUUUUGUGUCUAUGAUACUGCUGUUCACAGCUUUUCUUGAUAGGCCUAGUACAAUCUUGGGAACAGGGUUACUGUAUACUGAAGGUCUGACAGUAGCUCUUAGACUCGCCUAUCUUAGGUAGUCAUGCUGUGCCUUUUUUUUCCAUUGGUG